Molecule: ribosomal RNA, 433 nt
Filed under: uncultured bacterium
Lineage: Bacteria
Description: partial 16S ribosomal RNA
Rfam family: Bacterial small subunit ribosomal RNA
Source: RNAcentral
AACGAACGCUGGCGGCAUGCCUAACACAUGCAAGUCGAACGAGACCUUCGGGUCUAGUGGCGCACGGGUGCGUAACGCGUGGGAACCUGCCCUUAGGUUCGGAAUAACUCCCCGAAAGGGGUGCUAAUACCGGAUAAUGCCUUCGGACCAAAGAUUUAUCGCCUUUGGAUGGGCCCGCGUUGGAUUAGCUAGUUGGUAGGGUAAAAGCCUACCAAGGCGACGAUCCAUAGCUGGUCUGAGAGGGUGAUCAGCCACACUGGGACUGAGACACGGCCCAGACUCCUACGGGAGGCAGCAGUGGGGAAUAUUGGACAAUGGGCGAAAGCCUGAUCCAGCAAUGCCGCGUGAGUGAUGAAGGCCUUAGGGUUGUAAAGCUCUUUUACCCGGGAUGAUAAUGACAGUACCGGGAGAAUAAGCUCCGGCUAACUCCGUG